RNAcentral lists this transfer RNA (87 nucleotides) under Capronia americana. Its description in RNAcentral is "Capronia semiimmersa tRNA". It matches the Rfam family "tRNA". Rfam says of the family: Transfer RNA (tRNA) molecules are approximately 80 nucleotides in length. Their secondary structure includes four short double-helical elements and three loops (D, anti-codon, and T loops). Lineage: Eukaryota; Fungi; Ascomycota; Eurotiomycetes; Chaetothyriales; Herpotrichiellaceae. The record is from Rfam by way of RNAcentral.
GGCUGAAUGGUUUAGUGGUAUAAUUCUUGCUUUGGGUCCUUGUAUCUUGAAUGUAAGAGGUCCUGGGUUCAAUUCCCAGUUCAGCCC